CGCUGGCGGCGCGUCUAAGCAUAGCAAGUCGAACGGCAAGAGGUAGCAAUACCUCCUAGAGUGGCGGACUGGUGAGUAACACGUGGGUGACAUACCCUUCAGAUGGGGAUAGCUAUUAGAAAUAGUAGAUAAUACCGAAUACGAGCACAGGGGUUAGAGAUCUGUGAGGAAAGGAGCUAAGGCUCCGCUGAAGGAAUGGCCUGCGGCCCAUUAGCUAGUUGGUGAGGUAAGAGCCCACCAAGGCGAUGAUGGGUAUCCGGCCUUAGAGGGUGAACGGACACAUUGGGACUGAGAUACGGCCCAGACUCCUACGGGAGGCAGCAGCUAAGAAUAUUCCGCAAUGGACGAAAGUCUGACGGAGCGACGCCGACCGUGGAUGAAGAAGGCCGGAAGGUUGUAAAAUCCUUUUGAAACUGAAGAAUAAGCGUUGUAGGGAAUGACAGCGUGGUGACAGUAGGUUUUGAAUAAGCAACGGCUAAUUACGUGCCAGCCGCGGC
This 497-nucleotide ribosomal RNA is filed under the name uncultured bacterium. RNAcentral's name for it is "bacterial SSU rRNA". It matches the Rfam family "Bacterial small subunit ribosomal RNA", at positions 34 to 518 of the family's 1533-position model. The record is from RNAcentral.